Molecule: ribosomal RNA, 417 nt
Filed under: Kumbadjena extrema
Lineage: Eukaryota; Metazoa; Onychophora; Udeonychophora; Euonychophora; Peripatopsidae
Description: partial 16S ribosomal RNA
Rfam family: Bacterial large subunit ribosomal RNA
Source: RNAcentral
AUGAUUAAUUUAAUGGCUGCAGUAUAUUGACUGUACAAAGGUAGCAUAAUCAUUUGCUUUAUAAAUUAAAGCUUGUAUGAAUGGUAUUAUGAAAAUAUGACUGUCUUUUAUUUAUCAAUAAAAUUUGAUUUUCCAGUGAAGAGACUGGAAAAUUUUAGAAAGACGAGAAGACCCUAAUGAGUUUUAUAUAUUAUUAUAUAUUAUUAUAAUUAUAUAUUUUAUUGGGGCAAUAAGAGAAAAAAUCUUCUUUUUAUAUAAAAGAAUAAUAUUUGAUGAACCAUUAAUAAUGAUUAAAAGUUUAAAUUACCAUAGGGAUAACAGCAUAAUUCUUUUCAAGAGUACUUAUCGACAAAAGAGAUUAUGACCUCGAUGUUGAAUUAAGAAAAUUAUAUGAUGAAGAAAUUAUAUAAAUAAGUC